GUGCUCAUUAUAGCAGUACAUACACUAAACAAAGAUUAGCAUGGCCCUUGCACAAGGAUGACAUGAACAUUCACUUUUUUUUUUUUU
Molecule: small nuclear RNA, 87 nt
Filed under: Microtus ochrogaster (prairie vole)
Lineage: Eukaryota; Metazoa; Chordata; Mammalia; Rodentia; Cricetidae
Source: RNAcentral